Molecule: ribosomal RNA, 392 nt
Filed under: uncultured bacterium
Lineage: Bacteria
Description: bacterial SSU rRNA
Rfam family: Bacterial small subunit ribosomal RNA
Source: RNAcentral
GACGAACGCUGGCGGCGUGCUUAACACAUGCAAGUCGAGCGGUAAGGCCCUUUCGGGGGUACACGAGCGGCGAACGGGUGAGUAACACGUGGGUGACCUGCCCUUAGCUCUGGGAUAAGCCUGGGAAACUGGGUCUAAUACCGGAUAUGACUCCAUGACGCAUGUUGUGGGGUGGAAAGCCUUGUGCGGCUAGGGAUGGGCCCGCGGCCUAUCAGCUUGUUGGUGGGGUGAUGGCCUACCAAGGCGACGACGGGUAGCCGGCCUGAGAGGGCGACCGGCCACACUGGGACUGAGACACGGCCCAGACUCCUACGGGAGGCAGCAGUGGGGAAGUCUUGCGCAAUGGGCGAAAGCCUGACGCAGCGACGCCGCGUGGGGAGUGACGGCCUCGG